RNAcentral lists this ribosomal RNA (112 nucleotides) under Nephila pilipes (giant wood spider). The record is from RNAcentral. Lineage: Eukaryota; Metazoa; Arthropoda; Arachnida; Araneae; Nephilidae.
ACGGCCAUACCAUACUAAAAACACCGGUUCGUGUCCGAUCGCCGAAGUUAAGCAUCAUCGGGCGCGGUCAGUACUUGGGAAGGUAACCAAUUGGGAACACCGCGUGCCGUUG